Ictidomys tridecemlineatus (thirteen-lined ground squirrel) is the source of this 1511-nucleotide non-coding RNA. The record is from RefSeq and is a predicted model, not a curated record. Lineage: Eukaryota; Metazoa; Chordata; Mammalia; Rodentia; Sciuridae.
AACAUAUUUGGCUUACAAACUCUAGGCUGCACAGUAUGGCAGAAGUUGUGCUUUGACAGCAGGAUGGCUCAAAUGGCGGUCAUAACCUUGCAUUAUUGGGGCAGUGAAAUAUUUUAGUGGAAUCACUGGCAUCUCAUUUUCCCCUUAAAAUGAGUGCUGCCUUUUAUUAUUUGCCCAGUGGGGAUGGCUGGUUUGCUCAUUUGGGUGGCACACUCUUCCUCUGAAGUGAAGGCCACAGGAGUGAUUUCACGUGAAUGUAUGAUUUUCUAACUUCUUCAGGACCACAGGUUGCAUUUCUCCAUUCUAAGCAACUCUUGUAGAAAAUUAUACCCUUCUUAUUGUCAAAACGAUGCAAGAACGCAGAUAAGUUUGGCUGAAGGUUUCACACUUAUUGCUAUGGUAGGCAGAAUUUUAAGAUGACUCCCAUGACCUUUGGCCCUGUUCUUACUCCUAAGAUUGUGUUACAAGAGGAAAGGGAGAUUAUCUAGGGAGGCCAAACUAAUUACAGGAGCCCAUUAAAAACAGAGACUUUUUCUGUCUGGGAGCAGAAGAGGAAGUCAGAGAGAACUGAAACAUAAGAAGGAUUCAACCUACCAUUGCUGGCCUGGAAGUGGAGGGGCAAUGUGAAAAAGGGUGAUCAUCUUAAAGAGGAAUAUUCUUGUCAAGGCUUUCUCUGAAAAGCUUCCCUUGGGAGUAGAAGGAGCCUCCAUCACAGACGUUUAUGUUCAUGGAGAGUCUAUUUGCAGGACUGAAAAACAUCGUAUGACUAGAUAAGAUGUGCACUAUUUUGCCACAAACCUGGAAACUUUACCCACUGUGAGAAGGCAGCCGCCUGUCUGUGCACACCCAUCGCCUGCCUACAUAAACCACUGCUAAAAUCAACUUCCUGGCAAGAUGAACUUUGGACAAUAGACCUCCAUCUUCUCAAACAGAUGAGUUUUUAAAUAAACUCAUUUUCCAUGCCUCAACAUCUUAUUUCUUGAUUUCAUUGGCCUAUAGUGUGACUGAACUUGGGUCUGGUAACAUUAUUUUAUCUUUAUCUCUUAUUUCUUUGAAUGGUAUUUACUGCAUGUGUUUUAAUUUUUAAUUUGAUGUCUUGAAUCAGUUGAAAGUGAAUAUAAACCCUGCAUUUUCUUUGAGAAGGCAUGUGAUAAAGCUUUCUUACUUGUGUAGGGACCAAAAAGAAUAAUCAGUGCAUUAACAGAUGAAUUUGCCCAAUUCAUGACUCAUGUGAUAGAGAAAACAGUUCCUCAGAAUUUCAGUAUUUUAUUAUCAAUAUGUCUGUAGCAAACCAAUUGCUAGAUCUUAACAGUUCCCUCAGAGAUUGGGCAGAUCCAGUUGAGUUGGUAGGUGAAAGGCUCAAAAUGAAGUUCAGAGAUUUUUCUUCUCUGUAAUCCUUAUGUACUUUGAGAAAAAAAAAUUGUUUAUCAGUUUAUUAAUAUCCUUUUGUUGAAAGAACAUCAUAUGAAAUUAAAGAAAUUGAGUCACUCUUGUUAAAGUGUCUAUGUGUC